GAUGAACGCUGGCGGCGUGCCUAAUACAUGCAAGUCGAGCGAACGGACGAGAAGCUUGCUUCUCUGAUGUUAGCGGCGGACGGGUGAGUAACACGUGGAUAACCUACCUAUAAGACUGGGAUAACUUCGGGAAACCGGAGCUAAUACCGGAUAAUAUUUUGAACCGCAUGGUUCAAAAGUGAAAGACGGUCUUGCUGUCACUUAUAGAUGGAUCCGCGCUGCAUUAGCUAGUUGGUAAGGUAACGGCUUACCAAGGCAACGAUGCAUAGCCGACCUGAGAGGGUGAUCGGCCACACUGGAACUGAGACACGGUCCGGACUCCUACGGGAGGCAGCAGUAGGGAAUCUUCCGCAAUGGGCGAAAGCCUGACGGAGCAACGCCGCGCGAGUGAUGAAGGUCUUCGGAUCGUAAAACUCUGUUAUUAGGGAAGAACAUAUGUGUAAGUAACUGUGCACAUCUUGACGGUACCUAAUCAGAAAGCCACGGCUAACUACGUG
This 497-nucleotide ribosomal RNA is filed under the name uncultured bacterium. RNAcentral describes it as "partial 16S ribosomal RNA". It matches the Rfam family "Bacterial small subunit ribosomal RNA", at positions 28 to 507 of the family's 1533-position model. The record is from RNAcentral.